UUCCCAAGUUCUGCUUUUUGGCUGGCACCUUUCUCUCCUUCUAACCCAGCGACAUCCACGAAGUGGCAUACAACCACUUUCUUUCCUUUUUUUUCCGGUGGCUGUCUUUUUUUUUUUUUUUUUGUUAUUGCUAUAUGCAACACCAAGCCCUCCUGAAACGGGGCUGUUUUCCUGCUUUAAUUUUUUUCCUGUCUGUUGUGAUUGUGUGCCCAACAAGAGGAUCAUCCAAGAGAGAAAGGGAGAGAGGCUGUGACAGAAAAAAAAACAUGGCCUUCCUUUUAUUUUCUUUUUUAGCUGAUCUUCAUUUUUUUCCUACCUAUUCUUUUCUUCAUGACUAAUUUUGAUGUAGUUUGCUGAAAGAGAAAAAUAAAGACUUUCUUAAGCAGAGAUGGAGAGGAGUCGUCAGAGAGUCCAAGAGGUAAUUCACUCUCCUUUUUUUUUUUUUGUACAUUUUGGAAUUAACCCUCAAAACACCAUUUCUGUUUGAAAGGAUUUCCUUUUGCUCGGCAGAACUUUGUUGAACAGAAAUCCUCUCAUGGAUUUGCGGUUCAUGAUUUAAGGGUUGCCACCAUUAUGGAUUUACCAUCCAAGAGUUUUAUUUGAGGGUUGCCACCCUAUAUGGAUUUAUUAUCCAACCAAAUGAUUUGAGGGUUGCCACCCAAACAAGAAUUAAUUGAAAGCAUCGGUAUACCUGUGAAAAGUAUUCUCUUAUGCCUGUGCUCUUGCAAUUUUUCUCAUGCAGCAGUUUUCUUCUUCUGUCGUUUCCUUCUCCUUCUCUUUUUUUUUUUUUUUUUUAUACUGCUCCCCUCUUUAUGCUCCCCUAAAAAUAGGAGCCACUAACCUCUCUUAAGAGUUUUCAUUGGUUUAGACCCCCACCUCUCUAGCCUCAAUAGUUGCUUGCUAGAUGUGGCUAAAAACAGGUAUCAAAAUUGUGGGACUUACCCAAUCCCACGUUUCAAUUUUUUUUGUGAUUUUUUUGAUUCCAACAACUUGUAUUGGCUUUCUUUAUUUAAUAAACAAAGCAUUCACUAAAUUACAUGUCUAUACAUCAAAAAAAUUAUAAGGAAUAACCACAACAAAAGUAUAAUAAAAAAUAAUACAAAACUACAACCACAGCACAACCAAAACAUUACAAUUUGCCUUUCAGCUCGUCUACCGCUUUUCUCAUUUGCUUCUCGCUCUUGCCUCUCCACCAAUCUCCUCAUAUCUUCCAUUGAGAAUGGAGUAUGAAUUCUACACUCGGAGAAAUGAAAAUAUAGAAAGAUGUGGUGUGAGAGGUAUGAGCUGAGCCUCUGGUUUUAUAGAAAAUUUUGGCCAGAUAGAGAUGCCACGUGGCUUGAUUUGAUAGGAUGAAAAUCUUAUCUGAAAUUUGAAAUUCAUCCGAAUUUUGAAUUUUGAAAUUUAUCUGAAAUUUGAAUUUUGAAAUUCAUCUGAAAUUUGAACCCAAAAAUUUAUCCGGAAAUUUUAAUCCGAUUAUGAAUAGUCUUGACACGUAGGAACUCGAAAAUCUUAUCUGAAAAUAUUAUCCAAAUUGAUUAUUGAGGUAAAAAAAAUUGUGAAAAAAACAAAAAAAUGAAUAGUAAUUGCCCUUUGCCAUGGCAACGGGUGGAAAUAGAAAUGGCUUUUUGCAAGGGCAACCACUAUUCACGUGAAUAGUGG
This 1659-nucleotide long non-coding RNA is filed under the name Prunus persica (peach). Its description in RNAcentral is "long non-coding RNA (PPER_LNC001157)". The record is from RNAcentral. Lineage: Eukaryota; Viridiplantae; Streptophyta; Magnoliopsida; Rosales; Rosaceae.